GACGAACCGUGCGAACGUUGUUCGGAAUCACUGGGCUUAAAGGGCGCGUAGGCGGGCUAGCAAGUCAGGGGUGAAAUCCCACGGCUCAACCGUGGAAGUGCCUUUGAUACUGCCGGUCUGGAGGGAGGUAGGGGCGUGCGGAACUUCCGGUGGAGCGGUGAAAUGCGUAGAUAUCGGAAGGAACACCGGUGGCGAAAGCGGCGCGCUGGACCUCUACUGACGCUGAGGCGCGAAAGCCAGGGGAGCAAACGGG
This 253-nucleotide ribosomal RNA is filed under the name uncultured bacterium. RNAcentral's name for it is "partial 16S ribosomal RNA". It matches the Rfam family "Bacterial small subunit ribosomal RNA", at positions 524 to 776 of the family's 1533-position model. The record is from RNAcentral.